UUUUCAAAAGCACAGAAAUUCUCCAAAGAAGAAAUUGCUUGGAGAUCUGUCAUCACUGCUGGUACAGGAAGACCAAUUUUCAUAAGUGGCAAUGGUAAUUUCAGAAGAAUAGCAAUAGGUCUGGCUCCACUCCCAUCGCAGUCUCGCUGUCCCAGAACAUGAGCGACAGGUGUUGGCAAGGAGCAGGUGAAACUGGCAUCUCCGUGCGUCGCUGGCAGGAGUGUAAGAUGGUGCAGCUGCUGCGGAAGCAGAGUCUGGUGGGUGGUCCAUCAAAAGUUAAACACAGAGUUACCGCAGGAUUCAGCAAUUCCACUUCAAGGUGUACACCCAGUAGAGUUAAAAGCAGGACUCGAAGAGGUAUCGGCACACCGUACCGUGGUGGCAUUAUCCAUUCGCAGCGGCCAGUGGCAGAAACACGCCAAACGUCUGCCGGCAGGUGAGCGGGCAGACAGCCUGCCGCGCUGCCACACGACGGGACAUCGUUCAGUUUAAGCUGAAGAGGGAGGGGAGCCCUGACACGAGCCACACUGUGGAGGCACCUGGACGACAUUCAGCUGGUGAAUGAACUGCCUGCGUAGGAGUUCUGCCUGUGACCACGAGGCAGUCAAAGGGACAGACGGACCCUCCCACCCGGAACCACCACCAGAUGAAACAACUGAAGGGGAGA
This is a long non-coding RNA of Artibeus jamaicensis (Jamaican fruit-eating bat), 667 nucleotides long. RefSeq lists it as uncharacterized. The transcript is spliced from 3 exons. The record is from RefSeq and is a predicted model, not a curated record. Lineage: Eukaryota; Metazoa; Chordata; Mammalia; Chiroptera; Phyllostomidae.